CCUACGGGAGGCAGCAGUGAGGAAUAUUGGUCAAUGGCCGUAAGGCUGAACCAGCCAAGUCGCGUGAAGGAAGAAGGAUCUAUGGUUUGUAAACUUCUUUUAUAGAGGAAUAAAGUUAUCCACGUGUGGAUAUUUGCAUGUACUCUAUGAAUAAGCAUCGGCUAACUCCGUGCCAGCAGCCGCGGUAAUACGGAGGAUGCGAGCGUUAUCCGGAUUUAUUGGGUUUAAAGGGUGCGUAGGUGGUUUUUUAAGUCAGUGGUGAAAGUUUGUGGCUCAACCAUAAAAUUGCCGUUGAAACUGGAAGACGUGAGUGUGUUUGAGGUAGGCGGAAUGCGUGGUGUAGCGGUGAAAUGCAUAGAUAUCACGAAGAACUCCGAUUGCGAAGGCAGCUUACUAAGCCAUAACUGACACUGAAGCACGAAAGCGUGGGGAUCAAACAGGAUUAGAUACCCCGGUAGUC
RNAcentral lists this ribosomal RNA (460 nucleotides) under uncultured bacterium. RNAcentral describes it as "partial 16S ribosomal RNA". It matches the Rfam family "Bacterial small subunit ribosomal RNA", at positions 338 to 795 of the family's 1533-position model. The record is from RNAcentral.